GAAAUGCGAUAAGUAAUGUGAAUUGCAGAAUUCAGUGAAUCAUCGAAUCUUUGAACGCACCUUGCGCUCCUUGGUAUUCCUUGGAGCAUGCCUGUUUGAGUAUCAUGAAAUCUUCAAAGUAAAUCUUUUGUUAACUCAAUUGGUUUCUACUUUGGUAUUGGAGGUCUUUGCAGCUUCACACCUGCUCCUCUUUGUUCAUUAGCUGGAUCUCAGUGUUAUGCUUGGUUCCACUCGGCGUGAUAAGUUAUCUAUCGCUGAGGACACUGUAAAGGGUGGCCAAGGUAAAUGCAGAUGAACCGCUUCUAAUAGUCCAUUGACUUGGACAAUACUUUUAUGAUCUGAUCUCAAAUCAGGUAGGACUACCCGCUGAACUUAGGC
This 378-nucleotide unclassified non-coding RNA is filed under the name plant metagenome. RNAcentral's name for it is "partial contains 5.8S ribosomal RNA, internal transcribed spacer 2, and large subunit ribosomal RNA". The stretch from base 1 to 105 matches the Rfam family "5.8S ribosomal RNA", at positions 50 to 154 of the family's 154-position model. The record is from RNAcentral.